RNAcentral lists this ribosomal RNA (329 nucleotides) under Listeria monocytogenes. RNAcentral describes it as "partial 23S ribosomal RNA". It matches the Rfam family "Bacterial large subunit ribosomal RNA", at positions 2599 to 2925 of the family's 2925-position model. The record is from RNAcentral. Lineage: Bacteria; Bacillati; Bacillota; Bacilli; Caryophanales; Listeriaceae.
CGCGAGCUGGGUUCAGAACGUCGUGAGACAGUUCGGUCCCUAUCCGUCGCGGGCGCAGGAAAUUUGAGAGGAGCUGUCCUUAGUACGAGAGGACCGGGAUGGACACACCGCUGGUGUACCAGUUGUUCCGCCAGGAGCAUCGCUGGGUAGCUAUGUGUGGCAGGGAUAAACGCUGAAAGCAUCUAAGCGUGAAGCCCCCCUCAAGAUGAGAUUUCCCAUUUCUUCGGAAAGUAAGAUCCCUGAAAGAUGAUCAGGUAGAUAGGUUUGGAGUGGAAGUGUAGCGAUACAUGGAGCGGACAAAUACUAAUCGAUCGAGGACUUAACCAAAA